This is a long non-coding RNA of Stylophora pistillata, 199 nucleotides long. The record is from RefSeq and is a predicted model, not a curated record. Lineage: Eukaryota; Metazoa; Cnidaria; Anthozoa; Scleractinia; Pocilloporidae.
CUUUUCUGCUGUUGCGGAUAAAUGCGAUCAGGUUCUAACAGAGUAAAAGGACAAUCAACAUUCAGCGAACAACAUUUUGACGGUAUCCUCAAUGGCGAAGUGGAGUUUCAUCCUUGUUUUCUUUAUUGCAGGUUUGUUGGAGAAUGCUAAGCAAGCACAAGAGUGGAAAGAAGUCCAAGAGUUUGAUAAAGAACAAGUU